Molecule: long non-coding RNA, 211 nt
Filed under: Nicotiana benthamiana
Lineage: Eukaryota; Viridiplantae; Streptophyta; Magnoliopsida; Solanales; Solanaceae
Description: long non-coding RNA (NBEN_LNC033954)
Source: RNAcentral
CCUCAUCACAAUCGAUUGUCAUAAGGUUCACAAUCGAUUGUCAUGCAGGUUUGAAAAACCUGAUGCUCACUGCCUUAACACAAUCGAUUAUCAUGAGUUCACAAUCGAUUGUCAUGCAGUCUUGGCUCAACAUAAUCGAUUAUCAUAUGUACAUAAUCGAUUAUCUUAGUCCAGUUUUUAGAGGCAUGUAUAAAAAUCAUUUUGACUAAUG